This 367-nucleotide long non-coding RNA is filed under the name Cercocebus atys (sooty mangabey). RNAcentral's name for it is "lncRNA (ENSCATG00000045460.1)". The record is from RNAcentral. Lineage: Eukaryota; Metazoa; Chordata; Mammalia; Primates; Cercopithecidae.
AUGCUUUCCAGGUUUGGACACCCCUCCAUGGAUUUCUUUUUGGAGAUUUGCAGUUGCAGUGCCAGUGCCAGAGAAGAAAAUCUACAGGCAGUCCUUCCAAGUCAUUUUCAGAGACCCCACCAUGGCAGGUGUCCUGGGAAUACCUGCCUGCUUAGACCUUAUGUAAAAGCUCUGUGCAUCCUGCCACUGAGGACUCCGAAGAGGCAGCAGUCUUCUGAAAGUUGGAAAAACUCCAGGUUUCUGCUCCCUAAAAGAGGAAUCAGGAUUUCAAAUUACAAUCAUGAUCCUGUUGUGAUAACUCAGGAGACCACUGCAGCUUCUGUAUUUUGGAAGAGUUGAAAAUUUAUCAGUGAGGCUAAAUGCCAAG